Suricata suricatta (meerkat) is the source of this 503-nucleotide long non-coding RNA. RefSeq lists it as uncharacterized. The record is from RefSeq and is a predicted model, not a curated record. The transcript has 2 exons. NCBI's taxonomy places the organism in Eukaryota, Metazoa, Chordata, Mammalia, Carnivora, Herpestidae.
ACCUCACAGCAUGAAGCUGACGGGCCAGAAUGAAGGCCACGAAAACUAUCAUCAAACCAGCACAGAAUAUCCUUUAAUUGUGGACCACAUGGGUAUGGUCAAAACCUGCCUCAUGUAGGACAAAGCCAGAGGAAACUGAGAUCAGUCGGACCAGCAGGACUGAGGCUGUGAAAACGGUCAGUGUGCAGCCCCCACAGCCAUUGGCUAUGCCCACCUGUUGUAGUAAAUGUGAUGAGAAAGAAAAACUGACCUAUUGAGUCAUAGACCUGAGGCCCGGCAGAUGGUGGGUGCUUCCUCUUUCUAAAGUGUCAGGCAACCUCAGAGAAAAAAAUUUAUUCUUUAUAUAAAAUGUAAGGAACACGAAGAUGAGGUCAACUGAGUCCACAUCAUGUAAGACAAUGCUCAGAUGUAUAGUCUGCAUAAAAGAAAAGGAAAUGAUUUUCAGAGAACAGGAACAGAAAAGAUCUAGAGAUUUCAUUUAAUAAAACUUGUUUCUAAGCAAC